RNAcentral lists this small nuclear RNA (108 nucleotides) under Jaculus jaculus (lesser Egyptian jerboa). The record is from RNAcentral. Lineage: Eukaryota; Metazoa; Chordata; Mammalia; Rodentia; Dipodidae.
GUGCUCGCUUCAGCAGCACAUAUACUAAAAUUGGCCACAACACAGAGAAGAUUAGCAUGGCCCCUGUGCAAGGAUGACACGUGAAUUUGUGAAGUGUACCAUAUUUUU